Molecule: transfer RNA, 72 nt
Filed under: Megalops atlanticus (tarpon)
Lineage: Eukaryota; Metazoa; Chordata; Actinopteri; Elopiformes; Megalopidae
Description: tRNA-OTHER
Source: RNAcentral
GGCAGUGCAGCAUAGUGGUAAUGAGCAGGGCUCGUAACCGAAAGGUUGCUGGUUCAAUUCCCGGCUGGGCCA